CUGCCCUGUCUAGUGAUCAGCUGCUCUCUCCUUGGCCGUCCAGUCUCAUUCCAUUGCCAGAUCAACCUCAGUCAGCAGAAAGGCAAGGCCACAACACUGGCCUCUCCAUUUCGAUGGCUGAGAAUACAC
RNAcentral lists this small nucleolar RNA (129 nucleotides) under Hucho hucho (huchen). The record is from RNAcentral. Lineage: Eukaryota; Metazoa; Chordata; Actinopteri; Salmoniformes; Salmonidae.